Pectinophora gossypiella (pink bollworm) is the source of this 626-nucleotide long non-coding RNA. RefSeq lists it as uncharacterized. NCBI's taxonomy places the organism in Eukaryota, Metazoa, Arthropoda, Insecta, Lepidoptera, Gelechiidae. The transcript has 3 exons. The record is from RefSeq and is a predicted model, not a curated record.
AAUGUUAUUUACAUGCGAUGUAUGUAAUAUAUGUAAUAUUUCGUGACUAGUUUUUAAUACUAAUAACUGUCUUUAAGCGCCAGGUAUAAUUUGGAAGGCUCUAUCCCCACAUAUAAGACAGAAAAUCCAUGUUAUUGAUUGUGUAGUGCAGUGUGGUUCCACGAAGUGACUCAAUAACCCUCCCGUAAUACACAUCAACGUAUUUCUUCUCUCUUCUUACAAUGUACAAGUGAUUAGGUAGGUAUCUAUACUAUUGACUACAGGUUUAAACCUGAGUCCUAGAGUCCUGAGCCACCGUGUGAGACUACGCUGCAAAGAAUUCAACAGUCCGAAAUCAAGAGUGGGCUGUGCAUCUAAAGAACUAUCUCUACGUCUGUGUUACAAAAGAGUUUACUAUAACGCUUAACACUCUCCUGGCAAAGAAUUCGAAGAAAUUACUAUCAACAAUCCUGUUGCAGUCCAACACUAAAAACAAUAUGAAAGGAAUAAAAAGCAAUCUAUCGAUUGUUCGUGCUCCAUCCGUUAAUCAAUAGGAAUCAUGAACAGAAGGAGUAUUUUGGAGAAAUAAUUUAACAACUUUCGUUUUUGCAAUGUAUUUCAAUCUUCGAUAUGACCACAAGUACAAU